GACGAACGCUGGCGGCGUGCUUAACACAUGCAAGUCGAGCGGAAAGGCCCUUCGGGGUACUCGAGCGGCGAACGGGUGAGUAACACGUGAGUAACCUGCCCCAGACUUUGGGAUAACCCUCGGAAACGGGGGCUAAUACCGGAUACGGCACAGCUUCGCAUGGGGUCUGUGUGGAAAGUUAUUCGGUUUGGGAUGGGCUCGCGGCCUAUCAGCUUGUUGGUGGGGUUAUGGCCUACCAAGGCGACGACGGGUAGCCGGCCUGAGAGGGCGACCGGCCACACUGGGACUGAGACACGGCCCAGACUCCUACGGGAGGCAGCAGUGGGGAAUAUUGCACAAUGGGCGGAAGCCUGAUGCAGCGACGCCGCGUGAGGGAUGACGGCCUUCGGGUUGUAAACCUCUUUCAGCAGGGACGAAGCGUAAGUGACGGUACCUGCAGAAGAAGCGCCGGCCAACUACGUG
RNAcentral lists this ribosomal RNA (462 nucleotides) under uncultured bacterium. RNAcentral describes it as "partial 16S ribosomal RNA". It matches the Rfam family "Bacterial small subunit ribosomal RNA", at positions 28 to 507 of the family's 1533-position model. The record is from RNAcentral.